Molecule: ribosomal RNA, 380 nt
Filed under: uncultured bacterium
Lineage: Bacteria
Description: bacterial SSU rRNA
Rfam family: Bacterial small subunit ribosomal RNA
Source: RNAcentral
UAAUACAGAACCCUUAAGCGUUAUCCGGAUUUAUUGGGCGUAAAGGGUCCGUAGGCUGUUGAGAAAGUCUUUGGUUAAAUAUUCAGGGCUUAACCUUGAGAAUGCCUGAGAUACUUCUCAACUUAAGAGGGCGUUAGAGGCUGAAGGAACGCUCGGUGUAGGGGUGAAAUCCAUUGAUAUCGAGCGGAACACCAAAAGCGAAGGCAUUCAGCUGGGACGACCCUGACGCUGAGGGACGAAAGCGUGGGGAUAGAAAAGGAUUAGAUACCCUUGUAUUCCACGCUGUAAACGAUGGAUACUAGCUAUUGGAAGUGUCGACCCUUUCAGUGGCGAAGCUAACGCGUUAAGUAUCCCGCCUGGGAAGUACGACGGCAACGUUA